This 489-nucleotide long non-coding RNA is filed under the name Carica papaya (papaya). Its description in RNAcentral is "long non-coding RNA (CPAP_LNC004039)". Lineage: Eukaryota; Viridiplantae; Streptophyta; Magnoliopsida; Brassicales; Caricaceae. The record is from RNAcentral.
AGAACAUGUUAGGGAGCCUCGGUUAGUUGAAAAAUAACAAAAAUCAAACCUACCCGGUGGGGGAGACCUUUGAGUGCAGUGGCUUCGCCAGUCCUUCUUUGCAGUUGAGAUUAUUUCUUCUGUUAACUUGCAUAGUAAAGGACGGUAAGCACAAUGACUGAAAAAUCGUGUGAAAUAAGAAGCAGAAAGGGGCUUAUCAGAGAGAUUUUUAGGUUUGGCCUCGACAACUACACCGGGCUUUGCUCACAGUUUUCGACUCACCCGCCGUCCUCUUUCUCUGAUUUGGCCAUAGAGAUGCUCGAAAUCGAAUUUCGAGCGGGUAGGGAGAAUUUUUACCUUUUUUAGUAACUGGUGGUGGCUCUUGUGCGGCGGUGGUCAACGAUCAGUCUCCUUCUCCGACGUCUGGUUCUUCUUCUCUGGCGGGAGUUAGCUGCUAGAGUUUGGGUUCCCAUACGAUGCAAAAUAUUUAUACUCAUCCUGCAUCGUUUU